Molecule: transfer RNA, 68 nt
Filed under: Marmota monax (woodchuck)
Lineage: Eukaryota; Metazoa; Chordata; Mammalia; Rodentia; Sciuridae
Description: tRNA.Thr
Source: RNAcentral
GUUGUGGCUCAGUGGUAGAACAUUUUCCUAGUAUGUGUGAGGCCCUGGGUUGGAUCCUCAGUACAACA